CCUACGGGAGGCAGCAGUAGGGAAUUUUCGGCAAUGGUGGGAACCCUGACCGAGCAACGCCGCGUGAAGGAAGAAGGAAUUCGUUCUGUAAACUUCCGUUAUAAAGGAAGAAAGACGGAUGGAGGAAAUGACAUCCGAGUGACGGUACUAAAUGAGAAAGCCACGGCAAACUCCGUGCCAGCAGCGCGGUAAAUACGUAGGUGGCUAGCGUUAUCCGGUAUUAUUGGGCGUAAGGAGGGAGGAGGCGUCAGCAAAGGUCUGUGGGAAAGGACUGAAGCUAAACUUAAGUAAGCCAUAGAAACCGGGCAGCUAGAGUACAGUAGAGGAUCGUGGAAUUCGAGGUGUAGCGGUGAAAUGCGUAGAUAUAUGGAGGAACGCCGGUGGCGAAGGCGACGAUCUGGACUGCAACUGACGCUGAGUCCCGAAAGCGUGGGGAGCAAAUAGGAUUAGAUACCCUGGUAGUC
Molecule: ribosomal RNA, 464 nt
Filed under: uncultured bacterium
Lineage: Bacteria
Description: partial 16S ribosomal RNA
Rfam family: Bacterial small subunit ribosomal RNA
Source: RNAcentral